CCUGCUUUUAGGGAAUUUGAAGCAAGUAUUCAUCCACAAUUAUGGCACACAUUGAUGGGUCAUGGGUGGUAAUACAAUCCUGACUGUGCAGAGGCCCUCUUUCCAGAUUAGACGGCAGCAUCUGUAUUCUGGGCAGAAGAAAAUAGGAGUAGUACAGUAAGUACUACAAAGACAACAGCUGUAUUACACACAUAGGUUCGAAAGCAAAAAACCUGAUCAUCAAAUAUUUUUAUCUAGGUACACUAGAUUAUUUCUGAAAGUCUUUGGUGGUUUCCAGUGAUAGCACUCAGCAGGAUGUUGGCAGCAUCCACCAGAACUUUUCCCAAGAUGACUAAUAACAAACCUCUCAUGGUUGGAGGACUCUGAAGUCUAAACUACAUCUCUGCUUUACAACACGGCUAACUAAAUGAACCAAAAGUAGCCAGAAGCCUAUAUUUCUGCUUUACAAUACAAAAACGAUGCAACUCACUAGAUCAAAGUGAAUAUAUCUUUUUCUUCCCGAACACUAACCUAGGUUAAACUGUGGAAAAUUGGACACAGUCCUAGACUUCAGAUAUGAAUUGAACACUCUUCUUUUAUUCACCCGUGGUAUUCCUCUAUG
Long non-coding RNA from Panicum virgatum (switchgrass), 601 nucleotides. RefSeq lists it as uncharacterized. Lineage: Eukaryota; Viridiplantae; Streptophyta; Magnoliopsida; Poales; Poaceae. The record is from RefSeq and is a predicted model, not a curated record. The transcript has 2 exons.